Molecule: ribosomal RNA, 1279 nt
Filed under: metagenome
Description: bacterial LSU rRNA
Rfam family: Bacterial large subunit ribosomal RNA
Source: RNAcentral
CCGUAGAGAAUACCAAGGCGAUCGGGUGAACUGUGGUUAAGGAACUCGGCAAAUUGCCCCCGUAACUUCGGGAGAAGGGGGACCUCUGUUGGUGAUGGGCUUUACGCCUUGAGCUGGUGGGGGUCGCAGUGGCCAGGGGGAAGCGACUGUUUACUAAAAACACAGGUCCGUGCGAAGUCGUAAGACGAUGUAUACGGACUGACGCCUGCCCGGUGCCGGAACGUUAAGGGGACUGCUUAGUCAACGCGAGUUGGCGAAGGUGAGAACUUAAGCGCCGGUAAACGGCGGUGGUAACUAUAACCAUCCUAAGGUAGCGAAAUUCCUUGUCGGGUAAGUUCCGACCUGCACGAAUGGCGUAACGACUUCCCCGCUGUCUCAACCGCAGACCCGGCGAAAUUGCACUACGAGUAAAGAUGCUCGUUUCGCGCAGCAGGACGGAAAGACCCCGGGACCUUCACUACAGCUUGACAUUGGCGUUUGGAACGUCUUGUGUAGGAUAGGUGGGAGACUGGGAAGCUGUCACGCUAGUGAUGGUGGAGUCAUUGGUGAAAUACCACUCUGGUCGUUUUGAACGCCUAACUCUGGUCCGUGAUCCGGAUCGGGGACAGUGUCUGGUGGGUAGUUUAACUGGGGCGGUUGCCUCCUAAAGAGUAACGGAGGCGCCCAAAGGUUCCCUCAGCCUGGUUGGCAAUCAGGUGUUGAGUGUAAGUGCACAAGGGAGCUUGACUGUGAGACUGACAGGUCGAGCAGGAGCGAAAGCUGGGACUAGUGAUCCGGCAUCGGCGUGUGGAAGCGGUGUCGCUCAACGGCUAAAAGGUACCCCGGGGAUAACAGGCUGAUCUUCCCCAAGAGUCCAUAUCGACGGGAUGGUUUGGCACCUCGAUGUCGGCUCGUCGCAUCCUGGGGCUGGAGUAGGUCCCAAGGGUUGGGCUGUUCGCCCAUUAAAGCGGUACGCGAGCUGGGUUUAGAACGUCGCGAGACAGUUCGGUCCCUAUCCGCUGCGCGCGCAGGAGACUUGAAGGGGGCUGUCCCUAGUACGAGAGGACCGGGACGGACGAACCUCUGGUGUGCCAGUUGUACCGCCAGGUGCACGGCUGGUUGGCUACGUUCGGAAGGGAUAACCGCUGAAAGCAUCUAAGCGGGAAGCUCGCCUUGAGAUGAGGUCUCCCACCCCGUGAGGGGGUAAGGCUCCCGGUAGACGACCGGGUUGAUAGGCCGGAGGUGGAAGCACGGUAACGUGUGGAGCUGACCGGUACUAAUAGGCCGAGGACUUGACCAC